CGAGGGAUCAUUACUGAGUUUACGCUCUACAACCCUUUGUGAACAUACCUAUAACUGUUGCUUCGGCGGGUAGGGUCUCCGUGACCCUCCCGGCCUCCCGCCCCCGGGCGGGUCGGCGCCCGCCGGAGGAUAACCAAACUCUGAUUUAACGACGUUUCUUCUGAGUGGUACAAGCAAAUAAUCAAAACUUUUAACAACGGAUCUCUUGGUUCUGGCAUCGAUGAAGAACGCAGCGAAAUGCGAUAAGUAAUGUGAAUUGCAGAAUUCAGUGAAUCAUCGAAUCUUUGAACGCACAUUGCGCCCGCCAGCAUUCUGGCGGGCAUGCCUGUUCGAGCGUCAUUUCAACCCUCAAGCUCUGCUUGGUGUUGGGGCCCUACAGCUGAUGUAGGCCCUCAAAGGUAGUGGCGGACCCUCCCGGAGCCUCCUUUGCGUAGUAACUUUACGUCUCGCACUGGGAUCCGGAGGGACUCUUGCCGUAAAACCCCCAAUUUUCCAAAGGUUGACCUCGGAUCAGGUAGGAA
Molecule: ribosomal RNA, 521 nt
Filed under: Colletotrichum gloeosporioides
Lineage: Eukaryota; Fungi; Ascomycota; Sordariomycetes; Glomerellales; Glomerellaceae
Description: eukaryotic LSU rRNA
Rfam family: 5.8S ribosomal RNA (bases 186-339)
Source: RNAcentral